Non-coding RNA from Pelobates cultripes (western spadefoot toad), 221 nucleotides. NCBI's taxonomy places the organism in Eukaryota, Metazoa, Chordata, Amphibia, Anura, Pelobatidae. The record is from the annotation of a GenBank genome assembly.
CUCAGGUCUCUUUCCAUAUUAGGUAGUAGCUUAAUCAACAAGAAGCCUCAUAUUCUGGUUUAUGGAGUCUGAACGGCUAAACAUAUUUAACCUAACAGUGCACGGGUUACAGUACAGAUUAGGCAUUAGUUUGCAAAUAUUACAAAUGUGACAUCCACCAGCAUACACAUUGAGACGACAUGCAUCUUCAUUGCUAUCGCAUUAAAUCUGCCAAACUACAC